RNAcentral lists this ribosomal RNA (895 nucleotides) under uncultured Propionibacterium sp. RNAcentral describes it as "bacterial SSU rRNA". It matches the Rfam family "Bacterial small subunit ribosomal RNA", at positions 9 to 916 of the family's 1533-position model. The record is from RNAcentral. Lineage: Bacteria; Bacillati; Actinomycetota; Actinomycetes; Propionibacteriales; Propionibacteriaceae.
GAGUUUGAUCCUGGCUCAGGACGAACGCUGGCGGCGUGCUUAACACAUGCAAGUCGUACGGUAAGGCCCUUUCGGGGGUACACGAGUGGCGAACGGGUGAGUAACACGUGAGUAACCUGCCCACAACUUUGGGAUAACGCUAGGAAACUGGUGCUAAUACUGGAUAUGUGCUCCUGCUGCAUGGUGGGGGUUGGAAAGCUCCGGCGGUUGUGGAUGGACUCGCGGCCUAUCAGCUUGUUGGUGGGGUAGUGGCCUACCAAGGCGGCGACGGGUAGCCGGCCUGAGAGGGUGACCGGCCACAUUGGGACUGAGAUACGGCCCAGACUCCUACGGGAGGCAGCAGUGGGGAAUAUUGCACAAUGGGCGCAAGCCUGAUGCAGCAACGCCGCGUGCGGGAUGACGGCCUUCGGGUUGUAAACCACUUUCAGCAGGGACGAAGCUUUUUGUGACGGUACCUGCAGAAGAAGCACCGGCUAACUACGUGCCAGCAGCCGCGGUGAUACGUAGGGUGCGAGCGUUGUCCGGAUUUAUUGGGCGUAAAGGGCUCGUAGGCGGUUGAUCGCGUCGGAAGUGGAAACUUGAUGCUUAACGUUGAGCGUGCUUUCGAUACGGGUUGACUUGAGGAAGGUAGGGGAGAAUGGAAUUCCUGGUGGAGCGGUGGAAUGCGCAGAUAUCAGGAGGAACACCAGUGGCGAAGGCGGUUCUCUGGACCUUUCCUGACGCUGAGGAGCGAAAGCGUGGGGAGCGAACAGGCUUAGAUACCCUGGUAGUCCACGCUGUAAACGGUGGGUACUAGGUGUGGGGUCCAUUCCACGGAUUCUGUGCCGUAGCUAACGCAUUAAGUACCCCGCCUGGGGAGUACGGCCGCAAGGCUAAAACUCAAAGGAAUUGACGG